This is a long non-coding RNA of Symphalangus syndactylus (siamang), 4162 nucleotides long. RefSeq lists it as uncharacterized. The record is from RefSeq and is a predicted model, not a curated record. Lineage: Eukaryota; Metazoa; Chordata; Mammalia; Primates; Hylobatidae.
GGCAGAGUCUCGCUGUGUCACCCAGGUUGGAGUGCAGUGGCGCGAUCUCAGCUCACUGCAAGCUCCGCCUCCCGGGUUCACGCCAUUCUCCUGCCUCAGCCUCUCCGAGUAGCUGGGACUACAGGCGCCCGCCACCACGCCCGGCUAAUUUUUUUGUAUUUUUAGUAGAGACGAGGUUUCACCGUGGUCUCGAUCUCCUGACCUCGUGAUCCACCCGCCUCGGCCUCCGAAAGUGCUGGGAUUACAAGCGUGAGCCACCGCGCCCGGCGCCAGCACCGCUUAUUGAAGAGACUGUCUUCAGUGUAUGUUCUUGGCACCUUUGUUGAAAAUGAAUUCACUCUAGGUACAUGGACUUCUUUCUGUGUUCUCUAUUCUGUUCCAUUGGUCUUUGUCUGUUUUUAUGCCAGUACCAUGUUCUUUUGGUUACUAUACCUCCAUAGUAUAAUUUGAAGUCAGGUAAUGUGAUUCCUCCAGUUUUGUUCUUUUUGCUUAGGAUAGCUUUGGCUAUGUUGGAUCUUUUGUGGUUCCAUAUAAAUUUUAGGAUUUUUUUUCUAUUUCUGUGAAGAAUGUCAUUGGUAUUUUAAUAAAGACAAAAUUGAUGAACCUUGGGAACAAACAUGCCAAGUGAAAUAAGCCAGUCACUGAAAGACAAAUAUUGUAUGAUUCCACAUAUAUAUGGAUACAUCAGAACAUAUAUAUGAAUUUAUGAGGUACUUAGAGUAGUCAAAUUCAUAGAUAAAGUAGAAUGGUGGUUGCCAGGGGUAGGGGGAAAUGGGGAGUUAUUUAAUUAGGUAUAGUUUUGCAAGAUGAAAAUGUUCAGCAACAAUGUGGAUGUGGUUGUACAACAUGUGAAAGUACUUAACACUACUGAUAUGGUACUCUUAAAAAUGGUUAAGACUUUUGGGCUUGGUGGCUCACACUUGUAAUCCUAGUACUUUGGAAGGCCAAGGUGGGUGAAUCACUUGAGGCCAAGAGUUCAAGACCAGCCUGGGCAACAUGGUGAAAUCUUGUCUCUACUGAAAAUACAAAACUUGGCUGGGUAUGGUGGCAUGCGCCUGUAGUCCCAGCUACUCAGGAGGCUGAGGUACGAGGAUUACUUGAACAUGGGAGGCAGAGGUUGUAGUGAGCCGAGAUCACGCUACUGUGCUCUAGCCUGGAUGACAGAGGGAGAAUCUGUCCCCCAAAAAAAAAAAAGACCAGGCAUGAUGGCUUAUGCCUAUAAUCCCAGCACUUUGGGAGGCUGAGGCAGGAGAAUUGCUUGAGCCCAGGAGUUGAAGACCCGCCUGGCAACAGAGCAAGACUCCUGUCUCUACAAAUAAAAACUUUUUAAAAUUAACUGAGCAUGGUGACGGGCACCUGUAGUCCCAGCUAUUUGGGUGGCUGAAGUGGGAGAAUCGCUUGAGGCCUGGAGUCAGAGGCUGCAGUAAGCUGUCAUCCCACCACUGCAUGCCAGCCAGGGCAACAGAGUCUCAAAAAGGAAAAAAAAUGGUUAACAUGGUAAAUUUUAUGUUGUGUAUAUUUUACUGCAGUUAAAAAAAUAAAGAUCUCCUGGUGCUUUGGCUUUAGCUCAAAAAGGCUUUGGAUCUCUGUAAAAUUCAUGUUAGUAUGUAACUUGAUUCACAAUGAUGCAGAAUCAAUUAGACUUCUAUAUUUUUUACUUUAUCCCUUUUGAUCAUUGUGGCACCUCUUCGUCUGUUUUAUACAUUGCUGCAUGAGUUAUUUUCUUUCUUCUCUAUCAGUCUAUCCACAAGAUCUCUGAAGAGAUCAGGUGUCCAAGCUUUGGCCCAGCAAACACAUUCUAGAAACUUCUUGCCAAAGAAGCAGCCAUUCUCAGCUCAGAAACCCGGAAACAGCAGCUGAAAUGUUUUACAUGCUCCCUGAGGAAGCAGCGCCCAGCACAUGAAGCCCUGCGGGAGAGCACAGCAGCAGUGGAGGCUCUGGAGGAAGGCGUGGUGUCUAAGGCAAAGCACUCUGCCAGCUUACACAUUUAUUUGAAGGACACAGACAUAAAAUGGAUAUAUAUGUUUAUAUAACUUAAAGCAAUGGGAAGAAAUAGGUAACUAGGUGAGGCUCUGAAGAUUUUGAAAGAAGUGUGUUACUUGCUUGCUGCUCCUUUAAGGGAGAAAAAACAAAAAACAUACCCAUAAGCCUAGGAAUUCUUUCUGGGCCCCCUAAGGCAGGUUCUCAGCUGCAUUUAACUGUCUAAAGCUACUGAACCCAUGAGUUCUAGUGAGUUGUAAAAGCGCUAAUGAACUCCAUAGCUUGGAUUUACAAAAUAGAAUAUCUAGGGGUUAGAAUGAACCACCAGCUUUACUUUUCUGCUAAGAUUACCUUCUAAUGAGAUGAAAAUCAGCUUUCUUCAAUACCAGGAUCACCAUUCUUUGAGAACUUCCUUAUAAGGUCCCAGAUCAAACACUUGAUCUUAUUCAGGGAGUAACUGUUUUCUGUAGUAAAUACAAAGGUGUUUUUUUUUUCUAGGCAUCAAAGGCAAACCAGAUAGAACAUUAAGAUGAUGGGCAUUAAAAAGAUGAGGUAGGGGUCAAAAUGAGCCUAGAGGUUGCAUAUAUCUACAAGAAAGUUUUUUUUUUUUUUUCCUUCCUGCAUAGAUGGAGCAGCUCAUUGAAAAACACUUUUAUUUUUUCAAAGGUUCAGGGUCUUGCUCUGUCACCCAGGCUGAAGUGCAGAGGCAUCAUCGUAACUCAAGCUCACUGUAAUCUUGAACUCCUGGGCUCAAGGAAUCCUGGGACAAAGUAUCAAAGGCAAACCCUCAUAGUGUGAGAAACAUUAUGAAAACCAAAAGUUAAGGUGCCAAAACAUAAAAAGUCAGAUGAAGAUGAGUCAUUUAAUGGUUUCAUUCUUACUGGACCAUUCUGGCUGGAGACAAUAAGUAGAAGACUGUUUUGAGGCAAUUCUCAUAAAACGAAACCUAACUCACCUAUUCUCAGUAUUCGACCAGCAAAACACCUCACUUACCUGUGCACAUGAUCUAAUGCAACAGAGUCCCUAACAGGUUAUAUCUGGUGAGUAUGCAGACAUACAGAUCUUCUUUGUCUUAAAACAGGUUUUAGCUGUGGCACUGACAUUCUGGACCGAAUCCAUCUUUGUUGUGGGGGCUGUCCUGUACAUCAUAGGAUAUUUAGCAGCAUCCCUACUUUCCACUCCCCAGAUCCUGUACCACUCCUUCCUCAAGCUGUGAUAACCAAAACUGUCUUCUGACAUUGCUCUAAUGUCUCCAUGGGGAGCAAAAUCACUCCCUAUGGGAACCAGUGUCGUAAACCAUUUUAGAGGCAAACUAUAAACUAACUAACUCCCCUAACUGUGAUGGUGGAAAUAGUCUAUAAAACUUCCUAAUACAGCAGCUCAUCACUACAUGAUGCUACUAAGCACCUGAAAUGUGGCCAAGUAUGAGGAGAAUUCUUAAUUUAAUUUCAUUUUAAUUAAGUCCUACAUAUACUCUAAGGACAGGAUGCUUCAUCAUGGAAUGCUGUGUAGAUAUCCGAUACCUUUAUUAAAAAUCAUGUGGUUCAUCGGCAAUAAAAACUUACUUACUUACAGAGAGGGUUUCACCAUGUUGUCCAGGCUGGUCUCAAAUUAGCCACCCACCUCCAAAAGAAAGAGCUGGGAUUACAGGUGUGAGUCACUGCACCAGGCAUAAAUGUUUUAUUAGUCCUAUUUCUAUCCAUUUAAUUUUCAUUCUGACUGACUAGGUAUUUGUUAAAUUAAAAGGUGAACUGUGACGUUAAAGAUUACAAUGAGUGAUACAAAUUUAAAUUCUCUUUUAAAUCAAAAAGUUUUUUAAGUUGUUUUUUGCAUGAUAGGAAUCAUGACUGAAAAUAUAAGAAUGCAAAAAAAGGUGCUCUAACUGAAUUCUGGUAAAUAAUUCCUUCCUUGAGAGAAAAGAAAAACUAAACAAAUUUAAAGGAAAGGCCAACCAGGAUUGAAAGAAAACAUUUAUUGAAUCAAAAUCAAUACUUUCUUUUUAAUAUCUACAAGCCAACACAGAACUCAUUUUAUUCAAGAAUGAACACAAUGUACAAAAAAAGUAUGCUUAUAUUAUAAAAAUAUGUCAAUUUUAUCUUCUGGGUGCUUAGCAGAAGUCAUUUUAAACAAAAUCAAGGCAAACUUGUUCUCUAUAAUGAGUCUGCUAUAAUUUAACAACAAA